Molecule: ribosomal RNA, 713 nt
Filed under: uncultured bacterium
Lineage: Bacteria
Description: bacterial SSU rRNA
Rfam family: Bacterial small subunit ribosomal RNA
Source: RNAcentral
AUUAGAUACCCUGGUAGUCCACGCAGUAAACGAUGAAUGCUAAUUGUCCGUUGCGAAUGAGCGAUGGGUGAUACAGCGAAAGCGUUAAGCAUUCCACCUGGGGAGUACGCCGGCAACGGUGAAACUCAAAGGAAUUGACGGGGGCCCGCACAAGCGGAGGAACAUGUGGUUUAAUUCGAUGAUACGCGAGGAACCUUACCCGGGCUCAAACGCCGUCUGACGUAGGCUGAAAGGCUUAUUUCUUCGGACAGACGGCGAGGUGCUGCAUGGUUGUCGUCAGCUCGUGCCGUGAGGUGUCGGCUUAAGUGCCAUAACGAGCGCAACCCCUGUCGACAGUUGCUAACAGGUUAGGCUGAGGACUCUGUCGAGACUGCCGGCGCAAGCUGUGAGGAAGGCGGGGAUGACGUCAAAUCAGCACGGCCCUUACGUCCGGGGCGACACACGUGUUACAAUGGCAGGUACAGCGGGAAGCCACCCGGCGACGGGGCGCGGAACCCGAAAACCUGUCUCAGUUCGGAUUGGAGUCUGCAACCCGACUCCAUGAAGCUGGAUUCGCUAGUAAUCGCGCAUCAGCCACGGCGCGGUGAAUACGUUCCCGGGCCUUGUACACACCGCCCGUCAAGCCAUGGAAGCCGGGGGUACCUGAAGUACGUGACCGCAAGAAGCGUCCUAAGGUAAAACCGGUGACUGGGGCUAAGUCGUAACAAGGUAAC